GAUGAACGCUGGCGGCGUGCCUAAUACAUGCAAGUCGAGCGAACGGACGAGAAGCUUGCUUCCCUGCUGUUAGCGGCGGACGGGUGAGUAACACGUGGAUAACCUACCUAUAAGACUGGGAUAACUUCGGGGAACCGGAGCUACUACCAGCUAAUAUGUUGAACCGCAUGGUUCAAAAGUGAAAGACGGUCUUGCUGUCUCAUAUAGAUGGAUCCGCGCUGCAUUAGCUAGUUGGUAAGGUAACGGCUUACCAAGGCAACGAUGCGUAGCCGACCUGAGAGGGUGAUCGGCCACACUGGAACUGAGACACGGUCCAGACUCCUACGGGAGGCAGCAGUAGGGAAUCUUCCGCAAUGGGCGAAAGCCUGACGGAGCAACGCCGCGUGAGUGAUGAAGGCCUUCGGAUCGUAAAACUCUGUUAUUAGGGAAGAACAGAUGUGUAAUUAACUGUGCACAUCUUGACGGUACCUAAUCAGAAAGCCACGGCUAACUACGUG
This 497-nucleotide ribosomal RNA is filed under the name uncultured bacterium. RNAcentral describes it as "partial 16S ribosomal RNA". It matches the Rfam family "Bacterial small subunit ribosomal RNA", at positions 28 to 507 of the family's 1533-position model. The record is from RNAcentral.